GGAGGAAUAUUGGGUCAAUGGGGGCGGAAGCCUGAACCAGCCAAGUAGCGUGAGGGAUGACUGCCCUAUGGGUUGUAAACCUCUUUUAUAAGGGAAUAAAAUACGGGACGUGUCCUGUUUUGCAUGUACCUUAUGAAUAAGGACCGGCUAAUUCCGUGCCAGCAGCCGCGGUAAUACGGAAGGUCCGGGCGUUAUCCGGAUUUAUUGGGUUUAAAGGGAGCGCAGGCGGUCUUAUAAGCGUGACGUGAAAUGCAGCGGCUCAACCGUAUGAUGUGCGUCGCGAACUGUGAGACUUGAGUGUAUUCGAUGUCAGCGGAAUUUGUGGUGUAGCGGUGAAAUGCUUAGAUAUCACGAAGAACUCCGAUCGCGAAGGCAGGCAUCCGGGGUGUUACUGACGCUGAGGCUCGAAAGUGCGGGUAUCAAACAGGAUUAGAUACCCU
Molecule: ribosomal RNA, 440 nt
Filed under: uncultured Prevotella sp.
Lineage: Bacteria; Pseudomonadati; Bacteroidota; Bacteroidia; Bacteroidales; Prevotellaceae
Description: bacterial SSU rRNA
Rfam family: Bacterial small subunit ribosomal RNA
Source: RNAcentral